AUUAAAAACCAAUGCCCUUCGGGGCUUCUUGGUGAUUCAUGAUAACUUCUCGAAUCGCAUGGCCUUGCGCCGGCGAUGGUUCAUUCAAAUUUCUUCCCUAUCAACUUUCGAUGCGAGGGUAUUGUCCUCGCAUGGUUACAACGGGUAACGGAGGGUUAGGGCUCGACCCCGGAGAAGGAGCCUGAGAAACGGCUACUACAUCCAAGGAAGGCAGCAGGCGCGCAAAUUACCCAAUCCCGACACGGGGAGGUAGUGACAAUAAAUACUGAUACAGGGCUCUUUUGGGUCUUGUAAUCGGAAUGAGUACAAUUUAAAUCCCUUAACGAGGAACAAUUGGAGGGCAAGUCUGGUGCCAGCAGCCGCGGUAAUUCCAGCUCCAAUAGCGUAUAUUAAAGUUGUUGUGGUUAAAAAGCUCGUAGUUGAACCUUGGGCCUGGCUACAAGGACCGCCUCACCGCGAGAUCUUUCCGUAGCCGGGUCUUUCCCACUGUGGAACCCCAUGGCCUUUACUGGUUGUGGC
This 519-nucleotide ribosomal RNA is filed under the name uncultured fungus. RNAcentral describes it as "SSU rRNA". It matches the Rfam family "Eukaryotic small subunit ribosomal RNA", at positions 214 to 733 of the family's 1831-position model. Lineage: Eukaryota; Fungi. The record is from RNAcentral.